CCAGAAGUUUGUCUUCCAUUUUUGGUAGACUACCAAAAAUACACUGAGAAUUUGUAUAAUCAUCUUAGUGGAAGAAACUUCAAGUAAUGAUCAAAACUUCAGACUGAGGAACCAGGAUACCAUACUUCGAACAGAUGGUUGAUCAUUCCCCCUGCUGGAAUGCUUGCCAGUGUGAAGAAUCCAUCUCCACUCUGUAAGAAAUGAAAUGAUGCUGCAGUGAAGUCAUAGAUUAAACUGCUUCUCCAACUUCCUCAAGCUGUGGAACUACCAUCCAACUACCAUCCUUCCUUACCUCAGCUGAGAUGAAUGGACAGAAAAGAAACAUUUCUUACCAACCCUACUGAAAGAAGGGGGAAGGCACAGAGGCUGGCUCCAGGUCAAAGUUCCAAUUUCCACAAGAGAAGGAGGGAGGGCAGGAGCAGUGAAUA
Cavia porcellus (domestic guinea pig) is the source of this 428-nucleotide long non-coding RNA. RefSeq lists it as uncharacterized. The transcript is spliced from 3 exons. NCBI's taxonomy places the organism in Eukaryota, Metazoa, Chordata, Mammalia, Rodentia, Caviidae. The record is from RefSeq and is a predicted model, not a curated record.